Molecule: ribosomal RNA, 583 nt
Filed under: Hammondia heydorni
Lineage: Eukaryota; Apicomplexa; Conoidasida; Eucoccidiorida; Sarcocystidae
Description: eukaryotic LSU rRNA
Rfam family: Eukaryotic large subunit ribosomal RNA
Source: RNAcentral
GCGAUUGGGACCCUUCCGAUUCCAAGAAGUGCCGCCGGUUUGCCAUCUAUCCCUUUGCCUUCUCUCUCUCACCAGGUUUAGGCUUAGGUUUCUCGAUGUAUUUCCGGUUAAUCUUUUUGGAGAGGUCAGCAUCAGCUACUCGGAAUUGAUUUCGUUCAAAGAAGGUAGGUUCCUUGUGGACCCUUAUAUCUUUGUUCUUUCCUUUUCCUUGUGGCUGAGGAGUGUUUUGGUUUCCGAGCUCCACUUUCGAGUACUCGGUUUCUGUGAUGCUGGCUUAAUCGGUUCCAACCGACCCGUCUUGAAACACGGACCAAGGAGUCUAACAUAUGUGCGAGUAUGCGGGUUUUACUCCUGUAUGCGCAAUGAAAGUGAGAGUAGGGAGAUUUUGGCUUUGCCAUUCUUCGCACCUACGACCGACCACGAUCUCUGAGAGAGGUUUGAGUUGGAGCAUAUCUGUUAGGACCCGAAAGAUGGUGAACUAUGCCUGAGUAGAAUGAAGUCAGGGGAAACCCUGAUGGAGGUUCGUAGCGAUACUGACGUGCAAAUCGUUCGUCAAACUUGGGUAUAGGGGCGAAAGACUAAU